UACGGAGGGAGCUAGCGUUGUUCGGAAUUACUGGGCGUAAAGCGCGCGUAGGCGGCUUUGUAAGUUAGAGGUGAAAGCCCGGAGCUCAACUCCGGAACUGCCCUUAAGACUGCAUCGCUUGAAUCCGGGAGAGGUGAGUGGAACUCCGAGUGUAGAGGUGAAAUUCGUAGAUAUUCGGAAGAACACCAGUGGCGAAGGCGGCUCACUGGUCCGGUACUGACGCUGAGGUGCGAAAGCGUGGGGAGCAAACAGG
This 253-nucleotide ribosomal RNA is filed under the name uncultured bacterium. Its description in RNAcentral is "partial 16S ribosomal RNA". It matches the Rfam family "Bacterial small subunit ribosomal RNA", at positions 524 to 776 of the family's 1533-position model. The record is from RNAcentral.